RNAcentral lists this long non-coding RNA (416 nucleotides) under Capsella rubella. RNAcentral describes it as "long non-coding RNA (CRUB_LNC001433)". Lineage: Eukaryota; Viridiplantae; Streptophyta; Magnoliopsida; Brassicales; Brassicaceae. The record is from RNAcentral.
UCAGUCAAAAGUGAUUCUUCUCUAUUAAAAGCCAGAGAAUCUUCAUCUAUUUAAAUAACCAAAAUAAACAUUAAAAAGAAAGCCCACCCUACUCCAAUCUAAAAAGUGACACGAAUCUCACAAUAACAAGUUUUUAGAACAAAUGGAUUCAUUUCCAUAAGAGACAGACAAAUUGGAUAGGUGGGAUAUCCUUGUUUUUUUUUUUUUUUUUUUUUUUUUUUUUUUUUUUUUUUUUUUUUAAUUACUUUAGCACUUGAUAGGUUUUUCCCCUAACAAAAAGUCAAAACUAGUUAAAGAGAUUAAAAAUGUUUGACCAAUGACCCGGUUCGUAAUUGACGAUUUUUGGUCGAACCGUUAUAAUAAGAAUACAUUGCUAACUUCCAAAAAUUAUGAUUCACUAUAAACUAGAAUUUAAG